RNAcentral lists this ribosomal RNA (253 nucleotides) under uncultured bacterium. RNAcentral's name for it is "partial 16S ribosomal RNA". It matches the Rfam family "Bacterial small subunit ribosomal RNA", at positions 524 to 776 of the family's 1533-position model. The record is from RNAcentral.
AACGUAGGUGGCAAGCGUUAUCCGGAAUUACUGGGCGUAAAGGGUGUGCAGGCGGGGAAGCAAGGGGGGUAUGAAAUCUCCCAGCUUAACUGGGAUAGGUUAUGCCAGACUGCUUUUCUAGAGGACGAGAGAGGGGGGUGGAAUUCCGGGUGUAGUGGUGAAAUGCGUAGAGAUCCGGAGGAACCCCAGAGGCGAAGGCGGCCCCCUGGCUCGUACCUGACGCUCAUGCACGAAAGCGUGGGGAGCAAACAGG